Molecule: ribosomal RNA, 465 nt
Filed under: uncultured bacterium
Lineage: Bacteria
Description: partial 16S ribosomal RNA
Rfam family: Bacterial small subunit ribosomal RNA
Source: RNAcentral
UGGGGAAUAUUGGACAAUGGGGGCAACCCUGAUCCAGCAAUGCCGCGUGUGUGAAGAAGGUCUUCGGAUUGUAAAGCACUUUCGACGGGGACGAUGAUGACGGUACCCGUAGAAGAAGCCCCGGCUAACUUCGUGCCAGCAGCCGCGGUAAUACGAAGGGGGCUAGCGUUGCUCGGAAUGACUGGGCGUAAAGGGCGUGUAGGCGGUUUACACAGUCAGAUGUGAAAUCCCCGGGCUUAACUUGGGAGCUGCAUUUGAUACGUGUAGACUAGAGUGUGAGAGAGGGUUGUGGAAUUCCCAGUGUAGAGGUGAAAUUCGUAGAUAUUGGGAAGAACACCGGUGGCGAAGGCGGCAACCUGGCUCAUGACUGACGCUGAGGCGCGAAAGCGUGGGGAGCAAACAGGAUUAGAUACCCUGGUAGUCCACGCUGUAAACGAUGUGUGCUAGAUGUUGGGUAACUUUGUU